This 243-nucleotide ribosomal RNA is filed under the name uncultured bacterium. RNAcentral describes it as "partial 16S ribosomal RNA". It matches the Rfam family "Bacterial small subunit ribosomal RNA", at positions 793 to 1034 of the family's 1533-position model. The record is from RNAcentral.
GUCCACGCCGUAAACGAUGUCUAUUAGCUGUUGGGUAUAUUAAGAUACUUAGUGGCGCAGCUAACGCGAUAAAUAGACCGCCUGGGGAGUACGGCCGCAAGGUUAAAACUCAAAUGAAUUGACGGGGGCCCGCACAAGCGGUGGAGCAUGUGGUUUAAUUCGAUGCAACGCGAAGAACCUUACCAGGUCUUGACAUCCAGAGAACUUUCCAGAGAUGGAUUGGUGCCUUCGGGAACUCUGUGA